Molecule: ribosomal RNA, 253 nt
Filed under: uncultured bacterium
Lineage: Bacteria
Description: partial 16S ribosomal RNA
Rfam family: Bacterial small subunit ribosomal RNA
Source: RNAcentral
UACGAAGGGGGCUAGCGUUGCUCGGAAUCACUGGGCGUAAAGGGUGCGUAGGCGGGUCUUUAAGUCAGGGGUGAAAUCCUGGAGCUCAACUCCAGAACUGCCUUUGAUACUGAGGAUCUUGAGUAUGGGAGAGGUGAGUGGAACUGCGAGUGUAGAGGUGAAAUUCGUAGAUAUUCGCAAGAACACCAGUGGCGAAGGCGGUUCACUGGCCCAUUACUGACGCUGAGGCACGAAAGCGUGGGGAGCAAACAGG